CGGCACGUAGCUUAAUGGUAGAGCGUAGUCUUGAUAAGACUAAAGUUAUUGGUUCAAGUCCGGUCUUGCCGA
RNAcentral lists this transfer RNA (72 nucleotides) under Halisarca dujardinii. Its description in RNAcentral is "tRNA-Ile". It matches the Rfam family "tRNA". Rfam says of the family: Transfer RNA (tRNA) molecules are approximately 80 nucleotides in length. Their secondary structure includes four short double-helical elements and three loops (D, anti-codon, and T loops). Lineage: Eukaryota; Metazoa; Porifera; Demospongiae; Chondrillida; Halisarcidae. The record is from RNAcentral.